Molecule: RNase P RNA, 372 nt
Filed under: Muribaculaceae bacterium
Lineage: Bacteria; Pseudomonadati; Bacteroidota; Bacteroidia; Bacteroidales; Muribaculaceae
Description: RNase P RNA component class A
Rfam family: Bacterial RNase P class A
About the family: Ribonuclease P (RNase P) is a ubiquitous endoribonuclease, found in archaea, bacteria and eukarya as well as chloroplasts and mitochondria. Its best characterised activity is the generation of mature 5'-ends of tRNAs by cleaving the 5'-leader elements of precursor-tRNAs.
Source: RNAcentral
GCAGUGAGGGGGCUUGUCGCUUUAUGCCGGGAGAAGAAAGAGGAAAGUCCGGGCAACAUAGAGCAGCAUGCUUUUUAACGGAAAGUCGUCGGUGACGGCGAGGUUAAUGUGACAGAAAAUAACCGCCGGAAGAGAGUUCUCUUCCGGUAAGGGUGAAAAGGCGAGGUAAGAGCUCACCGCUCUGCGGGCGACCGUCAGAGGCUGCACAACCCAUGUGUUGCAAGGCCAAGUAUACCGGCAUCCAAGGAUUGCUCGUCCAUUGUCGGGGGGUAGGCUGCUAAAGUAGGCGGGCAACCGCCGUACUCAGAUAAAUGACAGGCAUUCAGCCACGUGAGACUGAUACAUAACCCGGCUUAUACCCUCUCUGCAACU